UAUUUUCAAACCUAAGUAUUUAUCUAGAUUUUUGACUUUUUUAACCUGUAAAGUCAAAGAUCUCAUGACUUCUAAAACAUAUACAAAUUCUUACUUGAAAUAAUUUGCCAUUUGAUCAAUUAAGUAAAUCAAUAACAGUAUUUCCUAAAGCCUACAAAUUGUUUUGAAAACACAAAACCAGUUAAGUUUCUAUAUGAGCAGGGAAGCAAAGUUUUUAACCUCCCCUGAUGAUUUGUGAUAGAAUUUAAAAGCAUUACUGACAGAGUAUAUGAUCUACAUUUAGAAAACUUGCUAUAACCAUAAUAUGCACAAAUUUGGUAAGUCAUCAUCUUUUCUAACUGCAAGUAUCAGUAAACUGAUCAAAAGGGAAAACAACU
RNAcentral lists this long non-coding RNA (377 nucleotides) under Bos taurus (domestic cattle). RNAcentral describes it as "long non-coding RNA NONBTAT007317". Lineage: Eukaryota; Metazoa; Chordata; Mammalia; Artiodactyla; Bovidae. The record is from RNAcentral.